Molecule: long non-coding RNA, 910 nt
Organism: Branchiostoma belcheri (Belcher's lancelet)
Lineage: Eukaryota; Metazoa; Chordata; Leptocardii; Amphioxiformes; Branchiostomatidae
Exons: 3
Source: RefSeq, a predicted model, not a curated record
GAAAGGAUGUCAGCAUCAUCACCGGUCUAACCAGUUCUUUUAAGGCAGGUUGACAUUUCCUACAUACUGAGAUACUUUCGUCAACGACUGCACGUACUGUUCGCAGCAUUGACAGACGUGACUGCAGAAAAAACAGACACCACAGCAGAAAUCAUGAAUCUAAACAACCAGGCCGUCUGUUGUGUAGCGGUCCUCGUGGGGUUUAUGUUGAGUGGAUUCCUCAUCAGCAUGGGCAUGGUAUAAAAGCACGACAGAUCGUCAUUGACAACUAUGGUCAAUUGACAGCUGAGCACAAAGGAUGCCAGGAGACCAGAACACCUACACAGUCAGCAACAUCAUCCCUACAACGAAGACAUAUAGGAGCCUUCUUUUAUGACAGUAGCGUGUUCGAUUCCAAAUCAUGAUUUGGAAUAAAACGAAGUGGAAUGUACCUGCAUUCCUAAACGUGGUCUAUUCCAAAACAUGAUUUGGAUUAACACAUAGUGGAAUGCCUGUUGCAUUCUAAAACGUGAUCCAUAAUAAUACACUCGACCGAUACCUUGCAUUGAAUGAGAGCUUACGACCGCCUUUCAGCUUCAUGCAGUAGUCAGACUGUGACGUAAUGAUGACGCAAACUCUACCAUGGGAUUUUGUCAUAAUAUCGUGAAUGGUCGGCUACACUCGACUUACACUUUGCAUUGAAUGAUAUCCGCUCUUCUGUGCUCCGAUUUCAUACAGACCUCACGUCACUGUGACAUGAUGUAUGUUAUCCUGGCAUUGUGUCUGAUGUACACUAGUUUAGUCUUUGUGAAGUUUGGAGCCUGAGUCGUGUUCACAUCGUGUAAGCUACAUGAUUCGAGGCAAAGUUUCCUGGUCUGCUGUUUCCUUUGGUGCAAAUAAAGCAAACUAACCCGCAUGAAAACAGACUUGA